AGAGUUUGAUCCUGGCUCAGGAUAAACGCUGGCGGCGUGCCUAACACAUGCAAGUCGAACGCGGAUGGCAACAUCCGAGUGGCGGACGGGUGAGGAACACGUGGGUCAUCUACCUUGAGGUGAGGAAUACCGGCGAGAAAUCGCCGACAAUACCGCAUACGUUUGGGAACAAACAAAGUCGAGCAAUCGACGCCCCAAGA
RNAcentral lists this ribosomal RNA (200 nucleotides) under uncultured bacterium. RNAcentral describes it as "partial 16S ribosomal RNA". It matches the Rfam family "Bacterial small subunit ribosomal RNA", at positions 8 to 225 of the family's 1533-position model. The record is from RNAcentral.